This 71-nucleotide transfer RNA is filed under the name Bacteroidales bacterium. Its description in RNAcentral is "tRNA-Gln". It matches the Rfam family "tRNA". From Rfam's summary of the family: Transfer RNA (tRNA) molecules are approximately 80 nucleotides in length. Their secondary structure includes four short double-helical elements and three loops (D, anti-codon, and T loops). Lineage: Bacteria; Pseudomonadati; Bacteroidota; Bacteroidia; Bacteroidales. The record is from RNAcentral.
UGGACUAUGGUGUAAUGGUAGCACUACAGGUUUUGGUUCUGUCAGACUGGGUUCGAGUCCCGGUAGUCCAA